AUAACUUCUACAAUACGAGCUGCUUAAUGAAGGAAACCUUGCGCUUGGAGCAUUGCGUAAGAUUACAUCACAGGAUAAAUAUGCAUUAGCAAAAAGCCUGGGAACAGCUGCUCUGCAGCCACAGGAAGGCCUUUUGGAGAGAGCUGGGGUCAGAGAAGGGGAAGCAAUGUCAAAGGUGUGGUUCUUGUUUGUAUUGAAAACCUGCAUGAGAACUUUUGCUAGACCAAGGGUCCUGACGGUGCAAGAUUCCUUCCCACAUGGCUGAAGUUCAACCUUUGAAGUUCAGGACAAGUCCCCCUUUGCUGGAACAUCUCUCAAUGUUCUUCAUGUUCUUAAAUAAGAAGCAUGUAUAAAAUA
This is a long non-coding RNA of Poecile atricapillus (Black-capped chickadee), 357 nucleotides long. RefSeq lists it as uncharacterized. Lineage: Eukaryota; Metazoa; Chordata; Aves; Passeriformes; Paridae. The record is from RefSeq and is a predicted model, not a curated record. The transcript has 3 exons.